RNAcentral lists this ribosomal RNA (434 nucleotides) under uncultured bacterium. Its description in RNAcentral is "partial 16S ribosomal RNA". It matches the Rfam family "Bacterial small subunit ribosomal RNA", at positions 29 to 507 of the family's 1533-position model. The record is from RNAcentral.
AGCGAACGCUGGCGGCAGGCCUAACACAUGCAAGUCGAACGAACCUUUCGGGGUUAGUGGCGGACGGGUGAGUAACACGUGGGAACGUGCCUUUAGGUUCGGAAUAACUCAGGGAAACUUGUGCUAAUACCGAAUGUGCCCUUCGGGGGAAAGAUUAAUCGCCUUUAGAGCGGCCCGCGUCUGAUUAGCUAGUUGGUUGAGGGAAUGGCUCACCAAGGCGACGAUCAGUAGCUGGUCUGAGAGGAUGAUCAGCCACAUUGGGACUGAGACACGGCCCAAACUCCUACGGGAGGCAGCAGUGGGGAAUCUUGCGCAAUGGGCGAAAGCCUGACGCAGCCAUGCCGCGUGAAUGAUGAAGGUCUUAGGAUUGUAAAAUUCUUUCACCGGGGACGAUAAUGACGGUACCCGGAGAAGAAGCCCCGGCUAACUUCGUG